GCAAGGGGAGCGGCGGACGGGUGAGUAACACGUGGGAAUUUUCCUCAAGGUACGGAACAACUCAGGGAAACUUGGGCUAAUACCGUAUGAUGCAGAGAUGCCAAAGAUUUAUCGCCUUGGGAUAAGCCCGCGUCAGAUUAGGUAGUUGGUGGGGUAAUGGCCUACCAAGCCUGUGAUCUGUAGCUGGUCUGAGAGGACAAUCAGCCACAUUGGGACUGAGACACGGCCCAAACUCCUACGGGAGGCAGCAGUGGGGAAUCUUGCGCAAUGGGCGAAAGCCUGACGCAGCCAUGCCGCGUGAAUGAUGAAGGUCUUAGGAUUGUAAAGUUCUUUAGCCUGUGACGAUGAUGACGGUAACAGGAGAAUAAGCCCCGGCUAACUUCGUGCCAGCAGCCGCGGUAAUACGAAGGGGGCUAGCGUUGUUCGGAAUUACUGGGCGUAAAGCGCGCGUAGGCGGUUAUGCAAGUCAGAGGUGAAAUGCCUGAGCUCAACUUAGGAAUUGCCUUUGGAACUGCAUGGCUUUGAGGACGAGAGAGGUGAGUGGAAUUCCCAGUGUAGAGGUGAAAUUCGUAGAUAUUGGGAAGAACACCGGUGGCGAAGGCGACUCACUGGCUCGUUUCUGACGCUGUAGCGCGAAAGCGUGGGGAUCAAACAGGAUUAGAUACCCUGGUAGUCCACGCCGUAAACGAUGAGUGCUAGGUGUUGGCACGCUUGCGUGUCAGUGCCGCAGCUAACGCGUGAAGCACUCCGCCUGGGGAGUACGGUCGCAAGAUUA
RNAcentral lists this ribosomal RNA (775 nucleotides) under uncultured bacterium. RNAcentral's name for it is "bacterial SSU rRNA". It matches the Rfam family "Bacterial small subunit ribosomal RNA", at positions 86 to 896 of the family's 1533-position model. The record is from RNAcentral.